CCCCUAUUUAAGUUUCUUCAUCCGGAGAUAUGAAGAUCGAAAUCUUUGUAUUGACGGGAUUUAAGAGACUUAAAUAUAGAAUACACAAUUUUGGACCUAAGAUACCGAAAAAUUGUUAUGAUGCAAAUAUGGAUGCAAGACUCUAAAUCUUGUGGGAAGAGACGUCACAAGAGACAAACUACUACUACUAGAGAAACCAGGAAUAUGACAAAGAAAAUCCACAGGGGAAUAACAAAAGUGACCCGACUGAGGAAGAGAAAUAACAAAAAAGGAUGUCCAAGUCCAUUAAGGAAAGGAAUCCAACUCCACUGGAGAAAUGAUAUAAUUUCACUGGGGAAGAGAUUACCUACUAUCAUGC
This 358-nucleotide long non-coding RNA is filed under the name Trifolium pratense (red clover). Its description in RNAcentral is "long non-coding RNA (TPRA_LNC005283)". Lineage: Eukaryota; Viridiplantae; Streptophyta; Magnoliopsida; Fabales; Fabaceae. The record is from RNAcentral.